UUACCAAGUUUCAAAUUCUCA
Molecule: microRNA, 21 nt
Filed under: Populus trichocarpa (black cottonwood)
Lineage: Eukaryota; Viridiplantae; Streptophyta; Magnoliopsida; Malpighiales; Salicaceae
Description: ptc-miR7826
Source: miRBase by way of RNAcentral